Molecule: ribosomal RNA, 238 nt
Filed under: uncultured bacterium
Lineage: Bacteria
Description: partial 16S ribosomal RNA
Rfam family: Bacterial small subunit ribosomal RNA
Source: RNAcentral
GAUCCUGGCUCAGGAUGAACGCUAGCUACAGGCUUAACACAUGCAAGUCGAGGGGCAACAUGGUCUUAGCUUGCUAAGACCGAUGGCGACCGGCGCACGGGUGAGUAACGCGUAUCCAACCUGCCCUACACUCUUGGACAGCCUUCUGAAAGGGAGAUUAAUACAAGAUGUUAUCAUGAGUAAGCAUUUUCGCAUGAUUAAAGGUUUACCGGUGUAAGAUGGGGAUGCGUUCCAUUAG